GACGAACGCUGGCGGCGUGCCUAAUACAUGCAAGUUGAGCGCUGAAGGUUGGUUCUUGUACCAACUGGAUGAGCAGCGCACGGGUGAGUAACGCGUGGGGAAUCUGCCUUUGAGCGGGGGACAACAUUUGGCACCGAAUGCUAAUACCGCAUAAAAACUUUAAACACAAGUUUUAAGUUUGAAAGAUGCAAUUGCAUCACUCAAAGAUGAUCCCGCGUUUUAUUAGCUAGUUGGUGAGGUAAAGGCUCACCAAGGCGAUGAUACAUAGCCGACCUGAGAGGAUGAUCGGCCACAGUGGGACGAGGACACGGCCCAAACUUCUACGGGAGGCAGCAGUAGGGAACCUUCGGCAAUGGACGAAAGUCUGACCGAGCAACGCCGCGUGAGUGAAGAAGGUUAUCGGAUCGUAAAAGUCGGUUGGUAGAGAAGAGCGUUGGUGAGAGUGGAAAGCUCAUCAAGUGACGGUAACUACACAGAAAGGGACGGCUAACUACGUG
This 497-nucleotide ribosomal RNA is filed under the name uncultured bacterium. Its description in RNAcentral is "partial 16S ribosomal RNA". It matches the Rfam family "Bacterial small subunit ribosomal RNA", at positions 28 to 507 of the family's 1533-position model. The record is from RNAcentral.